RNAcentral lists this ribosomal RNA (466 nucleotides) under uncultured bacterium. RNAcentral describes it as "partial 16S ribosomal RNA". It matches the Rfam family "Bacterial small subunit ribosomal RNA", at positions 28 to 507 of the family's 1533-position model. The record is from RNAcentral.
GACGAACGCUGGCGGCGUGCUUAACACAUGCAAGUCGAACGGAAAGGCCCUGCUUGCAGGGUACUCGAGUGGCGAACGGGUGAGUAACACGUGGGUGAUCUGCCCUGCACUUCGGGAUAAGCUUGGGAAACUGGGUCUAAUACCGGAUAGGAGCCAUCUUUAGUGUGGUGGUUGGAAAGUUUUUUCGGUGUAGGAUGAGCUCGCGGCCUAUCAGCUUGUUGGUGGGGUAAUGGCCUACCAAGGCGGCUACGGGUAGCCGGCCUGAGAGGGUGUACGGCCACAUUGGGAUUGAGAUACGGGCCAGACUCCUAAGGGAGGCAGCAGUGGGGAAUAUUGCACAAUGGGAGCAAGCCUGAUGCAGGGACGCCGCGUGGGGGAUGAAGGCCUUCGGGUUGUAAACUCCUAUCGCUAGGGACGAAGCUUUUUUGUGACGGUACCUAGAUAAGAAGCACCGGCUAACUACGUG